Molecule: long non-coding RNA, 301 nt
Filed under: Olea europaea (common olive)
Lineage: Eukaryota; Viridiplantae; Streptophyta; Magnoliopsida; Lamiales; Oleaceae
Description: long non-coding RNA (OEUR_LNC011751)
Source: RNAcentral
GUGCUAGGAGGGCUUCCUGGAGAAUCAUCUCAUCCAUUGAGCAGAAGGAAGAAAGCCGUGGGAAUGAGGAUCAUGUCAAGGUUAUUAAGGAAUACAGGGCGAAGAUUGAGGCUGAACUCAGCAAGAUCAGUAAUGGGAUUUUGAGCCUCCUAGAUUCCCAUCUCAUUCCCUCAGCCUCCUCAGCAGAGUCCAAGGUGUUUUAUUUGAAGAUGAAGGGUGAUUACCAUAGGUACAUGGCUGAGUUUAAGACUGGAGCUGAGAGGACGGAAGCUGCCGAGAGUACUUUGUCAGCUUAUAAGUC